This 494-nucleotide ribosomal RNA is filed under the name uncultured bacterium. RNAcentral's name for it is "partial 16S ribosomal RNA". It matches the Rfam family "Bacterial small subunit ribosomal RNA", at positions 28 to 507 of the family's 1533-position model. The record is from RNAcentral.
GACGAACGCUGGCGGCGUGCUUAACACAUGCAAGUCGAACGGUGAAGCGCCUUCCUUUUUGGUGGGUGUGGAUGAGUGGCGAACGGGUGAGUAACACGUGAGUAACCUGCCCCCUUCUUCUGGAUAACCGCAUGAAAGUGUGGCUAAUACGGGAUAUUCUGGGUCUGUCGCAUGAUGGGUCUGGGAAAGAUAUUGUUUCGGUGGGGGAUGGGCUCGCGGCCUAUCAGCUUGUUGGUGGGGUGAUGGCCUACCAGGGCGGUGACGGGUAGCCGGCCUGAGAGGGUGGACGGUCACACAGGGACUGAGACACGGCCGAGACUCCGACGGGGGGCAGCAGUGGGGAAUAGGGCACAGUGGGGGAAAGUGUGAUGCGGCGACGCCGCGUGAGGGAUGGAGGCCUGCGGGGGGUGAACGUCUUUCGCUAGUGAAGCUGGCCUGCCUCGUAUGUGGGUGGAUUGACGGUAGCUGGAGAAGAAGCGCCGGCUAACUACGUG